RNAcentral lists this long non-coding RNA (6061 nucleotides) under Equus asinus (donkey). RNAcentral describes it as "lncRNA (ENSEASG00005031541.1)". Lineage: Eukaryota; Metazoa; Chordata; Mammalia; Perissodactyla; Equidae. The record is from RNAcentral.
CAGACCCAGAGAGCUCCAGCAAGGUGCCUCCGCCCUUGCCCCAGAGCCCCUUUCUGGCGGGGAUCCAGCGGGGAGGGGAUCUGCUAAGCUGUCUGCAGCCGUUUUGUAAACCAUUAUUGCUCAGAGACGCCAUUCCGUUGCCUUAAAAUAUGUUCACGCCACUGUUAAUGGCGAAAGCAUCCCGUUGCCUUUUAAGCCAUCCUGUGACAAGGAGCAACCCCACUGCUUCGAUGUUUUGCCAUAAAAACCACCCGUACAUCAAGAUGUGCCCCCAUCGGGUCAGAGAGACCGGGAUAGGAAACCAAACUGACUGUGCAACCUUGGAUGAGGACAUUGAAGCUCAGCAAGGAGACGUGACUUGCUGAGGGCACAGGCUGUAAACCCUCGAGGCUUUGGGAGGGCUCCUGGUAAACAGCUCCCCGAUGCCCACGUCCACCAAGAUGGUCUGGAUCUAAGGUGUCUUUGCUGUGCUGCCUUGGGUCCCAGUUCAAUUGUCACCUCCACUGGAAAGCUCUUGCGGAUCCUCCUCCACGUGCGGGCUCAGUUCCACCUCUGUGUCCCCAGCCUCGCCCUGCUCACCCUGGGCUGGGUCACUCCGAGCUCUGUGGGGCAGGGACCCUGCUCGUCUGGUCUGCACUGCAGCCCUGGUGUCCAGCCCGGGGCCUGGCGUGUGGCAGGUGCUAACAAACGGUUUGUUCAGUGCCGCUCCCUCCCUGAAGGAUGGAACCAAUGACUGGCAUUCCCAGCAUGCUGCCGGGGCCUGGAUGUCUGUGUCCUAAGUCUCGUGUUGAAAACCUAAUGCCCAAGGUCAUGUACUGGGAGGUGGGUCUGCCUUUGGGGGGGUCUGCCCUCAUGAAUGGGUUAAUGCUCUUAUAGAAGAGGCUGCCAAGAGUUCCCUAGCCCCUUGGGCCAUGUGAAGACGCGAGGAGAAGUCAGCUACCAGGAAGAGGGCCCUCCCUUGGCCACGUUGGCUCCCUGCUUUGAGACUUCCAGCCUCCAAAACUGUGAGAAAUCAAUUCCCGUUGUUUAUAAGCCACCCAGUGUCUGGUAUUCUGUUACAGCAGCCCAAACGGACUGAGCCACAUGCCCACCUCCCCUGGCUCUCCAACCCUCAUCCCUCUUUGCAGGGAACCAGGAAGCUGGCAGCUUGGGUGGCAGCAGCUAGAUUUGAAUCCCUCAUGGCAAGAGCUGCCCGGAUGUUAAGCCAGCUUCCCUGCUCGGGAGCUCACUUGCUUUCUCCGGAUCGACCCGGUCAGGUGGAUCCUGCUGGGGAGACUCCGGCUUUGAGCUGCCCACCUUUGACGCCUCCAGGAGCAGCAGAAAAGGCUGACGUGGGAUCAGCCAGGCCUGGGAUUGAAUUCCAGUCCCACCACAGUCUAGCUGGGCAUCCACAGGCAAAUGCCUUCAUCACCCUGCGCCAUGGUUCUCAGGGAAUGUUUGUUGAUUGACUGACUGAGUGACUAAAAGAAUGAAUGAGUGAAGGAAUGAUUUAACGAAUGAAUGGCCAGCUCCAGGAUGCUGAUUGGAAGCUGGAGAGGAGGCUCCAAAUCCACCCCAGGCCCUCUAGGCCUGCCUCCUGGCCUCCCGCAGGGCCUUCCAUCUUUUGCCUCAUGGGGGUGGGGGUAGAGCAGGGGCAGGGGCUGGACUCCCCAGCCUCUGUCCUGCCCCCAAAUGCGCACAAUCUUCGUGACACUGUUUAAUUUUACAAGCCCCUCGGCUUUUAUGAGGGUUAUUUAUAAAGCUCCCGUCUUUGAUCCGCAGCAUAAGAAAGCAAACUCCUGUGUCUGAAAAUGUCACUGGGGAUUAGGGGAGCCUUUGAAGUCUCCUCCCUGCCAGCCGCCCCUGCCCAGCUUCUCCUCCAAAGGGCCUCCAAACCUGGCCAGGCCCUGGGGGCCCUCCUUUGAGGUGGAAGCGGCCCGGGUCCAGAUGAGUGACAGUCACGUGACAGCUGGAGGGGUUCAGGCUAGCUCCCCGGGUGGCGAAGAGAGGGACCAAGGAGACAGAGCCGAGAAGCCAGGAUGUUUCCUGCUCCACCUGGUUCCCCCUGCAGCGGAGCCCAGAGGGAUGAACAGGACUGCCUGGCCCGGCUCCGUUCACACACUCACAGUGGCCUCAGUGCCUCUAGGAUGUCUCCCCGCUCGCUCUCUCUGGAUCUUGCAGGACCUCCGAGCGUCUCCAGAGCCAACAGCAGGUGGGGGGUGAGAUCCCAGCUUGCCGCUCUCUGAGCUGUGUGAUCUUGGGCAAGCCCUUGCCCUCUCUGACCUGCUGUUCUCCUGUUUCCAAAACAAGACCCUCACUCCACGCAAGGUCAUGUGGGAUUAAAGGAAGUCGUUCCCAGGGGCGUGUGGGAUGCUUGGAGCCCUCGAAGGAGCCAGUGGUUCCUCCUGCCUCCUUCUCCGGAUCCUGCUUCCUAUCUCAGGCCUGAGGCGCAGAGGAGGCAAAGCCGGGGCCCCAGGGAGAGAGGCCUCAGCCAGGCCCCUGCCUGCUCCCCUGCCCAGCUUUCUCCCAGACCCAAGGCCUGGCCUCAGCCGGUGGAGGACGAGGCCGCCAUGACCGCCCACAGUGCUGGCCACCACCUCUCCCUACACCUUCUGAAGGUCACCGAGGAGGGAUGUGGUUCCUCCCUUCAUGGGGCUUCAGGGGGACAGGCAAGAAGGUAGCAGUGGGUGGGUGCAGGGCAGGGGGCUGUGUGGGGGUGAGUGGAGGCGGGGCCGUGUGAGCAGAAAGGUGAACAGACAUGCGCGAACUGGUGAACGAAUAAACAACCCGCGGUCCACUUGUACCAGCGAGGACUGCUGGCGACAGAAAGGAACGGACCCCUGACACAAGCGACAACCCUCGGGAGAGUUCCGCGGAACAUAUUUACAUCUCCCUCGUGCUGUUUAAAGGCUGUGCAGGAGUCCGCUGAGAGGAUGGACCAAAUUUAUUGAACCCGUCUGCUCGUGACAGGUAUUUCGGUAGGUUCCGUGUUUCAUUUUUUUGUCGUACAUUGCGCUGCCAUGAGCAUCCGUGUGCACACAGGUGGGCUUAUUCACAGGGUAAAUUCUUGUGGGUCGAAGGAUCUUUAUAUUUCAAAACUUGAUCAAAUUCAAAAUUUAAAUCUCUCAAGUCAGCCCUCUGCUUGACAUUUAGAUGUGUUUCCACCCCUCUCAGAAAAUGGACCUGAAUCCCCACUCAUGCUGACAGGCCACAUGGUCCUGCCCUAUCAAUUCUUCUGGCUCCGUCUCUCUCUGUGCUCCGGCCACACUGACCUACCUCUUCUACCACAGAGCCUUUGCACCUGCUAUGCCAUCCACCUGCAAAGCUUCCUCCCUUCUCUUGUCCUCUUCACUUGGUAACCUCCCCCUUUGCUCUUCAGAGUUCAUCCUCCAGGAAGCACUGCUUCCUCCAGGAAGCCUUCCCUGAUUGCUCUGGUGGAGCAUGUCUCUGUCACAGCCUUCAGAGGCCCUGCUCCUGACUCUGUUGCUUUCCUUCAGAGCGCUGAUCUCCAUUUAUAAAGAAAUGUGUCUUUCUGGGAUCUUGUGAACGAUGCCUGUCUCCUCACUAGACGGUGACCACCCCAGGGCAGAGAGGGGGUCUCGGGUUGGACCCUGGGACAAGGACUGGUGUGCAAGUGAUUGUUGAAGGAAGUGAUCCCGAGGUAGGUGAGUAAGGGAGUGGAGGAAGCAGGACAGAGAAGGAGAGGAAGCCAUGCAGGGCGCAAUUUCGGGGACAGCCUCAUGGAAGGGGGCCUCAGCCUGAUCCCACACAGGAGCUCAGGAGCGUGAAUUACACCACGGAGUUCUCCUGCCCCGAGGUGAGGGGGCUGGACUUCCACCUUCACCUGCGGCGUUGACUCAGGACCGCCCCAGUAGGGGCCGAGGAGGGCUCUGGGCACAUGCCAGCAAGGGGCUCCAGGAGCCAGAGGUCAGUUCUUUGAAGGAGUCACAGCUGAAGGCAGAUGGAGGAGAAGCGCACAGAAGCUGGCGGGGGGCACGUGGAAACGGUUGGGAGAUGGGAGCGGAGCAUUGAUUGUACCCACUGCACUUGAGGUCUCUUUUCUUCACUACCCUUUUUUUUUUUUUUUUUGAGGAAGAUUAGCCCUGAGCUAACUGCUGCCAAUCCUCCUCUUUUCGCUGAGGAAGACUGGCCCUGAGCUAACAUCCCUGCCCAUCUUCCUCUACUUUAUAUAUGGGACGCCUACCACAGCAUGGCGUGCCAAGCGGUGCCAUGUCUGCACCCGGGAUCCGAACCGACCAACCCCAGGCCGCUGGCACGGAACGUGCACACUUUAAGCGCUGCGCCACCAGGCCAGCCCCUCUUCACUAUCCCAAGUGUCCAGCAUAGAGUUUGGCACAGAACACACACUCAGGAGGGACCUGGGGAGCAAGCAAAUGAACACCUCUGCGAACGUGAGUGUAGGAAGGGCGUCAGCAGAAGGAACGGCAUCAGCAAAGGCUCAGAAGUGGGACUAGGCAGCUGUGCUCGUAUCAAUCCAGUGCGAGCCAGCUGCCAAUUUUCAGGAAUUUUGAUGAGCUCGUGUGACACUCACAUUCUGACACCAGCUGGUACUGCCAUUCAAUCUAGUUCUGAUACUUAACCACCUGGAGUUAGCCUCAGACUCCAAAGGUCAAGGGGCGCCCUCCCAAAAAGAGGGCCCUCACUUCAGACAAAGCUGCAAGUUCAGGGGUCCCUACACUUAUGACCAACUGGCUACUAAUUCAGGGGUUCCCAUGACCUCCUCAGGUUUGAUAACUGGCCAGAACACACCACAGGACUCAGGAAAGCACUAUGUGUAUGAUUAUAGUUUUAUUAUAAAGGAUAAAAUCAGGACCAGCCAAAUGAAGAGAUACACAGGAUGAGGUCUGGGACGGUCCUGAGCUCACAGCCUCCAAGCCCUUUCGUCCGUGGAAUCCGGGCACAUCAUCCUCCUGGCGCAUCAGUGAGUUCACCGACCAGGAAGCUGUCCUGAGCCUCAGUGUCCACAGUUUUUAUUGCAGUUCCAUCACACAGGCGUGACUGACUGAGCCAUUGGCCAUGUGACUGGACUCAACCUCCAGGCUUCUCCUCUGCUUGGAGUUUGGUGUGGGGGCCUGGGGGGGUCGAGGCCCCAACCUUCCAGUCACAUGGUUGUUCUCUCUGGUGACAGCCACCAUCCUGAGUCAUCUCACCUUUUAGCACAAACUCAGGAGUGACCCAAGGGGCUCAUGAACAACACACACACACUCCUCUUAGUCUGGAAAUUCCAAGCAUUUAGAGUCUCCCUCCUAGGAACCAGACAAAGGCCAGUCAAAUUAAAAGAAAAAAAAAAAAAAAGAUUUGCACCUGAGCUAACAACUGUUGCCAAUCUUCUUUUUCUUUUUCUUUUUCCUGCUUUUUCUCCCCAAAGCCCCCUGGUACAUAGUUGUGUAUUUUUAGUUGUGGGUCCUUCUAGUUGUGGCAUGUGGGAUGCUGCCUUAGCGUGGUACCUGAUGAGCGGUACCAUGUCCGCGCCCAGGAUCCGAACCCGUGAAACCCUGGGCUGACGAAGUGGGGCACAUGAACUCAACCACUUGGCCACGGGGCCAGUCCCCAGUCAAAUUCUUUAUUACAUCACGCAGAGCAAUUCUUGAAAUUUAAAUUAUAUAAACUUACAGCCAAAUAAAUCAUAGCAUAACUGUAAUAAAUACUCAAAACUCAUCAUUUCUUCAUAUUUUACUACGUUUUGCUAUCAUGUUCUUGAGGUUAUUUCCGUCUAUUGUAUCCACAUGGUGGAAACACCAUAUAAUGGUAUCUGCACCUCUAUUCCCAACUCUGCCUUCACCCACAUGUUGGUUAGUUUGAAACCAGAGUAUUUGCACCACAGAAAUUGGCAAGUGCUACAAAUCAGAGCUUCAUUUAUCACGUCGUUGAUGAUCUAAACUUAGAAAGUCACGGAGAAAAUGUUAAUAACAUAGAUUAAACUUAAAAGUCUGUUGUUUGUAUAGCCAUUACACGUGAAGAGCACAGAAAUUGGAGGAAAUGUUCUUCCAGGAUUCAAAAACCAUUAUGCAAUUCAGCAAAGAGAUUGCUCACGUCACAGACAAAUGAGUGACAUUCUGAC